This 417-nucleotide ribosomal RNA is filed under the name uncultured bacterium. Its description in RNAcentral is "bacterial SSU rRNA". It matches the Rfam family "Bacterial small subunit ribosomal RNA", at positions 356 to 773 of the family's 1533-position model. The record is from RNAcentral.
GGGGAAUCUUGCGCAAUGGUCGAAAGACUGACGCAGCGACGCCGCGUGCGGGAGGAAGCCCUUCGGGGUGUAAACCGCUGUUACUCGGGACGAACUUCCCGAUUUAUCGGGAUUGACGGUACCGGGGGAGGAAGCACCGGCUAACUCUGUGCCAGCAGCCGCGGUAAUACAGAGGGUGCGAGCGUUGUCCGGAAUCACUGGGCGUAAAGGGCGCGUAGGCGGCUUUUCAAGCGUGCGGUGAAAGCUCGGGGCUUAACUCCGAGUCUGCCGUGCGAACUGGGAGGCUUGAGUCUGGUAGAGGUCGAUGGAAUUCCGGGUGUAGCGGUGGAAUGCGUAGAGAUCCGGAAGAACACCGGUGGCGAAGGCGGUCGACUGGGCCAGAACUGACGCUGAAGCGCGACAGCGUGGGGAGCAAAC